Molecule: long non-coding RNA, 1316 nt
Filed under: Pan troglodytes (chimpanzee)
Lineage: Eukaryota; Metazoa; Chordata; Mammalia; Primates; Hominidae
Description: lncRNA (ENSPTRG00000052961.1)
Source: RNAcentral
GCUUUGAAGAGGGAGCACCAUUUUGCCUGUUUCUCAUGUGUGAGCAGAGGGACUCAGACGGCGCUGGCUCCAAUCCAGAUUUGCUGUUACGCACAGCGCCCUCCACAACCAUCCAUGAAGUGGAGCAGAAGAACUUCCGCCUUUCAGAGCAAGCCUCCUGGGAUUCAUUGAUUUUGUAAUCCCUUGCCUCUAUUUGUAUUAUAAUACAUUGAAACCAAAGCUAGCAUUUCAAAAAUCAGGACCAAGUAUUUUAGUUACUUGGGACCAAGAACAUACAGUUCCAGUGAAUGAAAUUAACAUAAGGACAGAGCCAUUCGACAAAGAAAAAGAAAAGGGAUCCUUUUUCAGAUCCAGAAACAUUAAAUUAGACGGUACAAAAAUCCAUCCGGGAAACCCCAUAUGGCUCCAGUCACCAGCCAGGCCAUCACUCAUUUUGUAGUUUACAUUCCAGGAGAUUAAAGAUACAAUUCAGAUGAACUGUUACAAGAUAACUCCAUGUCAACAGCUCAACUCCGAUCGGGUCAAGGGAUACAUUGGCAAUGAAGGAAAAUCAUAAAGCUGACAGCCAGAGGCCUGGCUGGGGAGUGGCUCCUGUGGGGCAAGAGGUAUCCAGCAGGAAGAAGGCGAAACCCUAACAGCCUCCGCUGGGGGCCAAAGCCAGCUUUCCUAGCUGGGAAAAGCACAUCCAAUCCCAGCACACGCUGUUCUGUAACAACAGAAAAUCCUUCCCGUGGACUUUGUGCUCCCAGUGGUAAGGAGCACAGAUGGGCUGGUCCUAUGCCGGGUUCCUCUUCCUGCCCAUGGGUGUGUCCAGGUGAUGGCUCCUUUUUUCCCCAUCAUCAAACACCCAGAGCCCCCGAUCAGUUUUCCACAGCGCAGGGUGCAGAGAGGGAAGGAGAAGGCCGCUGUUCAUCACCCUGGUGCCUGGUCCCCUGCACCGGGCAGAGGCCUCUCUUCCACCGGGAGCCUGGCCCCGGCCCCUUGGCUGUGUCACUGAGAAGUGCCUAACACAACCUGUCACCCACGCUCUCCUCCAGCAUCCCGAGUCAGCCACUCACAGCCAUUAUUCUUUCCACGUGAAACUGUGAAAUGAAGACAUAGAGGGAGUGGAAUUAAAGAACCGGCUAUUAACAGAAUUACCUUAAAAAGCGUUUCACUUUAACACAAAAAUUGAUUUCAUUCAAAAAGGCAAUAAUGCACAUUAAAAAUUUUAAAGUAUCAAAAGAUGUACGAUUUUUCUCGACAUUUGGGCACCCAGUUUACUGCCUCAAAGUCAAAUAUUGUUACUAAUGUUUUAUGUAUUAUUAAAGGGUUAA